This 972-nucleotide ribosomal RNA is filed under the name Triticum aestivum (bread wheat). Its description in RNAcentral is "partial small subunit ribosomal RNA". Lineage: Eukaryota; Viridiplantae; Streptophyta; Magnoliopsida; Poales; Poaceae. The record is from RNAcentral.
AUGUUCUCCCCAUCGUCCAUCGCACUCCGUUUCCGCACGUGCACCAGCGCACCGGGAUCGCAUCGCACUGCGCGAACCACUCCCAAAGUCCCCACUGGACUCCACCCGCCCCUCCCCACCCCGCGGAUCCGGAAUCCUCCACGAAUUAACGAGUUUCCCUUCCCCUGCUGCCCGGCCGGCGCGCGCGGUGACCAUCGUCCAUCGACCGAAGCCAGCGCGCCCCCGCGACCAGAUCCGAGCGGAGGGAUGACUGGGGCGGCGUCGCAGGCGUACGGGGAGGCGUGGUACUGGGACGAGCGGUACCGCAAGGAGUCGGGGCCCUUCGACUGGUACCAGAAGUACCCCGCCCUCGCGCCGCUGCUCCGCCUCUACGUGCGCCCGCACCAGCGCCUCCUCCUCGUCGGAUGCGGCAACUCCGUUUUUGGUGAAAACAUGGUUCAUGAUGGUUACCAGGACGUUGUCAACAUUGAUAUAUCGUCUGUGGUGAUUGAACAAAUGAAGAAGAAAUACCAUGAUAAGCCUCAACUAAAAUACACGAAGAUGGAUGUAAGAAACAUGUCAGACUUUGAGUCUGGUUCAUUUGAUGCUGUUAUUGACAAAGGAACACUAGAUUCUAUUAUGUGCGGCCAAAAUUCACAAGAGCAUGCAGCAAAGAUGCUAGGGGAGGUGAACAGAAUCCUCAACGAUAAGGGGGUCUACAUUAUGAUUACUUAUGGGGAUCCAAGUUAUCGAUUGAAUCUUCUGAAGGACCUCCAAUUUUGGACAGUAAAGCUUCACGUCAUAGAUAGGUGGGAGAGAAGUUCCAAAAAGACAUGGGACCUGACCGAGCCACUGCCUUUACAAGAUGAUAGUACAUCGAUUAUCAACCUUCUUGGCCCAAAACCUGAUGUUCACUAUAUUUAUGUCUGUAUAAAGGACAACGACAGUGCAAGAGUGGAGUUGAAGGUCGAGAUCAAUGAAGCAGACAAAUGA